This 465-nucleotide ribosomal RNA is filed under the name uncultured bacterium. RNAcentral's name for it is "partial 16S ribosomal RNA". It matches the Rfam family "Bacterial small subunit ribosomal RNA", at positions 338 to 795 of the family's 1533-position model. The record is from RNAcentral.
CCUACGGGUGGCAGCAGUAGGUAAUCUUCCACAAUGGGCGAAAGCCUGAUGGAGCAACGCCGCGUGGGUGAAGAAGGUUUUCGGAUUGUAAAACCCUGUUGUUAGAGAAGAAAGUGCGUGAGAGUAACUGAUCACGUUUCGACGGUACCUAACCAGAAAGCGCCGGCAAACUACGUGCGAGCAGCCGCGGUAAUAUGGCGGUGGCAAGCGUUAUCGGGAUUUAUUGGGCGUAAAGGGAACGAAGGCGGUCUUUUAAGUCUGAUGUGAAAGCCGUGGGCUUAACCGGAGUAGGGCGUUGGAAACUGGGAGACUUGAGUAAGGGAGAGGGAAGUGGAACUCCAGGUGUAGCGGUGAAAUGCGUAGAUAUAGAGAAGAACACUAGUGGCGAAGGCGGCUCUCUGGACUGUAACUGACGCUGAGGUUCGAAGGCGUGGGUAGCAAACAGGAUUAGAUACCCUUGUAGUC